CGCGGCCUAUCAGCUUGUUGGUGGGGUAAUGGCCUACCAAGGCGACGACGGGUAGCCGGCCUGAGAGGGCGACCGGCCACACUGGGACUGAGACACGGCCCAGACUCCUACGGGAGGCAGCAGUGGGGAAUAUUGCGCAAUGGGCGAAAGCCUGACGCAGCGACGCCGCGUGAGGGAUGACGGCCUUCGGGUUGUAAACCUCUUUCAGCAGGGAAGAAGCGAAAGUGGCGGUACCUGCAGAAGAAGCACCGGCUAACUACGUGCCAGCAGCCGCGGUAAUACGUAGGGUGCAAGCGUUGUCCGGAAUUAUUGGGCGUAAAGAGCUCGUAGGCGGUCUGUCGCGUCGGAUGUGAAAAUCCAGGGCUCAACCCUGGACCUGCAUUCGAUACGGGCAGACUAGAGUUCGGUAGGGGAGACUGGAAUUCCUGGUGUAGCGGUGAAAUGCGCAGAUAUCAGGAGGAACACCGGUGGCGAAGGCGGGUCUCUGGGCCGAAACUGACGCUGAGGAGCGAAAGCGUGGGGAGCGAACAGGAUUAGAUACCCUGGUAGUCCACGCCGUAAACGUUGGGCGCUAGGUGUGGGGAACCUUCCACGUUCUCCGUGCCGCAGCUAACGCAUUAAGCGCCCCGCCUGGGGAGUACGG
RNAcentral lists this ribosomal RNA (643 nucleotides) under uncultured Actinomycetes bacterium. RNAcentral's name for it is "bacterial SSU rRNA". It matches the Rfam family "Bacterial small subunit ribosomal RNA", at positions 232 to 885 of the family's 1533-position model. The record is from RNAcentral. Lineage: Bacteria; Bacillati; Actinomycetota; Actinomycetes.